This 75-nucleotide transfer RNA is filed under the name bacterium. Its description in RNAcentral is "tRNA-Thr". It matches the Rfam family "tRNA". Rfam says of the family: Transfer RNA (tRNA) molecules are approximately 80 nucleotides in length. The record is from RNAcentral. RNAcentral also lists the same sequence under 2 other names.
GCCGGCGUAGCUCAGCGGUAGAGCAACUGAUUCGUAAUCAGUAGGUUGUCGGUUCAAAUCCGACCGUCGGCUCCA